GAAGAGUUAUGACAAAAAAAAAAGUGUGUGUGCAUAUAAGAUUUUUAUCAUAGGUUAGGGGUUACAAGUGUGAAGAGAAAACAAACAAAUGAGUGGAGAAAAAGUUGAUUCCUACGGCUCACUCACGUUGAAAUGUAUGUUGUGUUGAGAAAAAAAAAAGCAUUAUUGAUAGGUUGGGAUGAUAACAUUUUAAUUGGUUUUUGUAUUGGGGAUUCAGAUUGGAGUCAAAAAUGGAGAACAGAUAGAAGAAGGUAGUAUAAAAAAGGAAACGUUCCGCCUUAUGGUGAAGCACUUGCGUGAGCAGAAGUAGACAAAGCAGAAGUGAGAAUGUCGGCUUGAGUAACGCAAAUAUUGGUGAGAAUCCAAUGCCCCGAAAACCCAAGGGUUCCUCUACAAGUUUCGUCCACGGAGGGUAAGUCAGGGCCUAAGAUAAGGUCGAAAGGUGUAGGUCAAUUGAUAACACAUUUAAAUUGGAUGAAAAUCGCUAAUUGAGUCUUAAUUUGAUUGGUAUGCGCAUUAUUAUUAGUGUAAGAAGACGUGAUUUGAGUGCGUUGAAGCGCAUUAUUUUCUUAUUUAACAAUGUAAAUAGUUUUCAUUUUAUAAUUUUUAAAAGCUGAAAAAUAUGUUUGGUAAAUGAAAAUAGAAAUUUGUUUUCAAUAAUGAAAAUAGAAA
This is a long non-coding RNA of Gossypium arboreum, 672 nucleotides long. RefSeq lists it as uncharacterized. The transcript has 2 exons. NCBI's taxonomy places the organism in Eukaryota, Viridiplantae, Streptophyta, Magnoliopsida, Malvales, Malvaceae. The record is from RefSeq and is a predicted model, not a curated record.